AAUAAGUAAGAAGAAAUUUAAUAAAAAACAAUUCUAUAUUACCCUAAAUGAAACUCAAUUAAACCUUGGAUGUAAUAAUUAAUAAGAAGAAGGAAAAAAGUCAAACUCAAUUAUAUAUUGAGAUAAUCAACUUCAUUAAUUAAAACUAUGGAUGUAAUAAUUAAUAAAUAGGAAAAAUAUAAUCAAACUCAAUUCUAUAUUACAUUAAAAUAACAAACAUAGCAUUGUAAUGGUUAUAAUAUGACCAUAGAAUUUUAUUACAAAAUAAUCCAUUUCUAGUUAUUUUCUCUCUCUCCC
This 297-nucleotide long non-coding RNA is filed under the name Setaria viridis. RNAcentral's name for it is "long non-coding RNA (SVIR_LNC007264)". The record is from RNAcentral. Lineage: Eukaryota; Viridiplantae; Streptophyta; Magnoliopsida; Poales; Poaceae.